Molecule: long non-coding RNA, 672 nt
Filed under: Homo sapiens (human)
Lineage: Eukaryota; Metazoa; Chordata; Mammalia; Primates; Hominidae
Description: non-protein coding CYP1B1-AS1:40
Source: RNAcentral
GUCAGUGCCAGGAGCGCUUGGAUUGGGAUGGGGACGGAGAAGGGUGCCUCGCUCGCCGAGCCCCGCUGCCCUUGGGGACCUGGCAAAGUCGAGGUUUCCUCACAGCGUUGAGAUUGAGACUGGGGGUCGGCAGCACUGAGAAGUGAAGGAAUAUUUGGGAGGAUCAGAAGCUUGGUCCUGAUUUUGCCAUCAACAGGAACUUGAUGACUUCAAGGGAGUCCCCAAACCCUGGGUUUCUGUUUUCUCAACUCUAACAUGAGGGGCUAGAUGCAUCUGGUUUAGUUAGUCUCCAUGAUGGUUUAGUUCGUCUCCAUGAUCCUGUGAAUUUCAGAUGUUGAAAAUCUUCGGAAAAGCCCUGAAAGAUGAACAGUGGUCUCAAAUAGUCAAGACCCCCUGCUGGGAGGAGCUUCUAUCCUGCUCUGUGGAAGAAAUGGGCAUGCCAGAUGCCUGGAAGAUCAGAGGCUCACAUUCCAGUUUAGCUCAACAAAAUAGAAGAAAAUCUCCCUUUCAAGGCUGUUGGAAGGACUACAGAUGAAAAGUAUAUAAAGUUCCCAGCAGAUGGAAAAUAUCAAAUAAAUGUCAGCUAGUAGCAGCAGCAGGAGCAAAGAUGAAGGCCGACUCCUGAGUUUUCAGACUCCACAGAUCCCAGAAUCCUUCUCUGCUCUGAGUUCU